RNAcentral lists this ribosomal RNA (468 nucleotides) under uncultured bacterium. RNAcentral describes it as "partial 16S ribosomal RNA". It matches the Rfam family "Bacterial small subunit ribosomal RNA", at positions 28 to 507 of the family's 1533-position model. The record is from RNAcentral.
GACGAACGCUGGCGGCGUGCUUAACACAUGCAAGUCGAACGGAAAGGCCCUGCUUUUGUGGGGUGCUCGAGUGGCGAACGGGUGAGUAACACGUGAGUAACCUGCCCUUGACUUUGGGAUAACUUCAGGAAACUGGGGCUAAUACCGGAUAGGAGCUCCUGCUGCAUGGUGGGGGUUGGAAAGUUUCGGCGGUUGGGGAUGGACUGGCGGCUUAUCAGCUUGUUGGUGGGGUAGUGGCUUACCAAGGCUUUGACGGGUAGCCGGCAUGGGAGGGUGACCGGCGACAUUGGGACUGAGAUACGGCGCAGACUCCUACGGGAGGCAGCAGUGGCGAAUCUUGCACAAUGGGCGCAAGCCUGAUGCAGCAACGCCGCGUGCGGGAUGACGGCCUUCGGGUUGUAAACCGCUUUCGCCUGUGACGAAGCUUGAGUGACGGUAAUGGGUAAAGAAGCACCGGCUAACUACGUG